AAUGGGCGCAAGCCUGAUCCAGCCAUGCCGCGUGAGUGAUGAAGGCCUUAGGGUUGUAAAGCUCUUUUGCCGGGGAAGAUACUGACGGUACCCGGAGAAUAAGCACCGGCUAACUUCGUGCCAGCAGCCGCGGUAAUACGAAGGGUGCUAGCGUUGUUCGGAAUCACUGGGCGUAAAGCGCGCGCAGGCGGUCAUUCAAGUCAGGGGUGAAAUCCCAGAGCUUAACUCUGGAAUUGCCUUUGAAACUGUAUGACUAGAGUUCAGGAGGGGAUAGGGGAAUUGUUAAUGUAGAGGUGAAAUUCGUAGAUAUUAACAGGAACACCAGUGGCGAAGGCGCCUAUCUGGACUGACACUGACGCUGAGGCGCGAAAGCGUGGGGAGCAAA
RNAcentral lists this ribosomal RNA (385 nucleotides) under uncultured bacterium. RNAcentral's name for it is "bacterial SSU rRNA". It matches the Rfam family "Bacterial small subunit ribosomal RNA", at positions 370 to 772 of the family's 1533-position model. The record is from RNAcentral.